AGCGAACGCUGGCGGCAGGCUUAACACAUGCAAGUCGAGCGGGCACUUCGGUGUCAGCGGCAGACGGGUGAGUAACACGUGGGAACGUACCCUUCGGUUCGGAAUAACGCUGGGAAACUAGCGCUAAUACCGGAUACGCCCUUUUGGGGAAAGGUUUACUGCCGAAGGAUCUGCCCGCGUCUGAUUAGUUAGUUGGUGGGGUAAUGGCCUACCAAGGCGACGAUCAGUAGCUGGUCUGAGAGGAUGAUCAGCCACACUGGGACAGAGACACGGCCCAGACUCCUACCGGAGGCAGCAGUGGGGAAUAUAGGACAAUGGGCGCAAGCCUGAUCCAGCCAUGCCGGGUGAGUGAUGAAGGCCUUAGGGUUGUAAAGCGCUUUUGUCCGGGACGAUAAUGACGGUACCGGAAGAAUAAGCCCCGGCUAACUUCGUG
Molecule: ribosomal RNA, 433 nt
Filed under: uncultured bacterium
Lineage: Bacteria
Description: partial 16S ribosomal RNA
Rfam family: Bacterial small subunit ribosomal RNA
Source: RNAcentral